RNAcentral lists this ribosomal RNA (319 nucleotides) under Bacillus subtilis. Its description in RNAcentral is "bacterial SSU rRNA". It matches the Rfam family "Bacterial small subunit ribosomal RNA", at positions 1 to 308 of the family's 1533-position model. Lineage: Bacteria; Bacillati; Bacillota; Bacilli; Caryophanales; Bacillaceae. The record is from RNAcentral.
AUUUAUCGGAGAGUUUGAUCCUGGCUCAGGACGAACGCUGGCGGCGUGCCUAAUACAUGCAAGUCGAGCGAACAGAUGGGAGCUUGCUCCCUGAUGUUAGCGGCGGACGGGUGAGUAACACGUGGGUAACCUGCCUGUAAGACUGGGAUAACUCCGGGAAACCGGGGCUAAUACCGGAUGGUUGUUUGAACCGCAUGGUUCAAACAUAAAAGGUGGCUUCGGCUACCACUUACAGAUGGACCCGCGGCGCAUUAGCUAGUUGGUGAGGUAAUGGCUCACCAAGGCAACGAUGCGUAGCCGACCUGAGAGGGUGAUCGGC